GAAUGCACUAGUGAUUCAGGCCUAACACAUGCAAGUCGAGCGGGGUUUUCGGACCUAGCGGCGGACGGGUGAGUAAUGCGUAGGAAGCUGCCCGAUAGAGGGGGAUACCAGUUGGAAACGACUGUUAAUACCGCAUAAUGUCUACGGACCAAAGUGUGGGACCUUCGGGCCACAUGCUAUCGGAUGCGCCUACGUGGGAUUAGCUAGUUGGUGAGGUAAUGGCUCACCAAGGCGACGAUCUCUAGCUGGUUUGAGAGGAUGAUCAGCCACACUGGAACUGAGACACGGUCCAGACUCCUACGGGAGGCAGCAGUGGGGAAUAUUGGACAAUGGGCGCAAGCCUGAUCCAUCAAGGCCGCGUGUGUGAAGAAGGCCUUCGGGUGACAUUUAAAGGGGCGAGGAGGAAGGGAUGUAUGCUAAUAGCAUGCA
This 429-nucleotide ribosomal RNA is filed under the name uncultured bacterium. RNAcentral describes it as "bacterial SSU rRNA". It matches the Rfam family "Bacterial small subunit ribosomal RNA", at positions 34 to 472 of the family's 1533-position model. The record is from RNAcentral.